RNAcentral lists this unclassified non-coding RNA (300 nucleotides) under uncultured Pleosporales. RNAcentral's name for it is "sequence contains ITS1". The stretch from base 1 to 105 matches the Rfam family "5.8S ribosomal RNA", at positions 50 to 154 of the family's 154-position model. Lineage: Eukaryota; Fungi; Ascomycota; Dothideomycetes; Pleosporales. The record is from RNAcentral.
GAAAUGCGAUAAGUAGUGUGAAUUGCAGAAUUCAGUGAAUCAUCGAAUCUUUGAACGCACAUUGCGCCCCUUGGUAUUCCAUGGGGCAUGCCUGUUCGAGCGUCAUUUGUACCCUCAAGCUUUGCUUGGUGUUGGGCGUCUUGUCCUCUUCUGGAGGACUCGCCUCAAAACAAUUGGCAGCCGGCAUAUUGGUAUCGGAGCGCAGCACAAGUCGCACUUCUUUCCAUGAAUGUUGGCAUCCAUCAAGACCAUUUUUUCACUCUUGACCUCGGAUCAGGUAGGGAUACCCGCUGAACUUAA